This 226-nucleotide ribosomal RNA is filed under the name uncultured bacterium. Its description in RNAcentral is "partial 16S ribosomal RNA". It matches the Rfam family "Bacterial small subunit ribosomal RNA", at positions 524 to 749 of the family's 1533-position model. The record is from RNAcentral.
UACGUAGGGUGCAAGCGUUAUCCGGAAUUAUUGGGCGUAAAGAGCUCGUAGGCGGUUUGUCGCGUCUGCUGUGAAAACUGGAGGCUCAACCUCCAGCCUGCAGUGGGUACGGGCAAACUAGAGUGCGGUAGGGGAGAUUGGAAUUCCCGGUGUAGCGGUGAAAUGCGCAGAUAUCGGGAAGAACACCCGUGGCGAAGGCGGUUCUCUGGGACGGUACUGACGCUAG